CCUACGGGUGGCAGCAGUGAGGGAUAUUGGUCAAUGGGGGAAACCCUGAACCAGCAACGCCGCGUGAGGGAAGACGGUUUUCGGAUUGUAAACCUCUGUCCUCUGUGAAGAUAAUGACGGUAGCAGAGGAGGAAGCUCCGGCUAACUACGUGCCAGCAGCCGCGGUAAUACGUAGGGGGCAAGCGUUAUCCGGAUUUACUGGGUGUAAAGGGAGCGUAGACGGCGAUGCAAGUCUGAAGUGAAAGGCGGGGGCCCAACCCCUGGACUGCUUUGGAAACUGUAUGGCUGGAGUGCAGGAGAGGUAAGUGGAAUUCCUAGUGUAGCGGUGAAAUGCGUAGAUAUUAGGAGGAACACCAGUGGCGAAGGCGGCUUACUGGACUGUAACUGACGUUGAGGCUCGAAAGCGUGGGGAGCAAACAGGAUUAGAUACCCCAGUAGUC
This 440-nucleotide ribosomal RNA is filed under the name uncultured bacterium. RNAcentral's name for it is "partial 16S ribosomal RNA". It matches the Rfam family "Bacterial small subunit ribosomal RNA", at positions 338 to 795 of the family's 1533-position model. The record is from RNAcentral.